UUCAUCUUGUCGGAGUGCCAACGGUCAUCGACCCACGGCUGAGAUCGCAAUUGCGAAAUCCGCAGAACCUGAUCCGGUUAAUACUGGCGUAGGAAUCAAGAUUCUGCUCAGC
Molecule: non-coding RNA, 112 nt
Filed under: Reinekea blandensis MED297
Lineage: Bacteria; Pseudomonadati; Pseudomonadota; Gammaproteobacteria; Oceanospirillales; Saccharospirillaceae
Also listed under: 1 other name
Description: TPP riboswitch aptamer (THI element)
Rfam family: TPP riboswitch aptamer (THI element)
About the family: Vitamin B(1) in its active form thiamin pyrophosphate (TPP) is an essential coenzyme that is synthesised by coupling of pyrimidine and thiazole moieties in bacteria.
Source: Rfam by way of RNAcentral